GACGAACGCUGGCGGCGUGCUUAACACAUGCAAGUCGAACGGAAAGGCCCUGCUUUUGUUGGGUUCUCGAUUGGCGAACGCGUGAGUAUCACGUGAGUAACCUGCCCUUGUCUUUGUGAUAACUUCAGGAAACUCGGGCUCAUACCGGGUAUGAGCUCCUGCUGCAUGUUGGUGGUUGGAAAGUUUCGGCGGUUGUGGAUGGACUCGCUGGUUAUCAGCUUGUUUGUGUGGUAGUUGCUGACCAAGGCUUUGACGGGUAGCCGGCCUGAGAGGGUGACCGGGCACAUUGGGCCUGAGAUACGGAGCAGUAUCGUACGGGAGGCAACAGGCGGGAACCUUGCACAAUGGGCGGACGCGUGAUGCAGAAACGUCGCGUGCGGGAUGACGGCCUUCGGGUUGUAAACAGAUUUCGACUGUGACGAAGAGUGAGUGACGGUAAUGGGUAAAGAAGCAACGGCUAACUACGUG
Molecule: ribosomal RNA, 468 nt
Filed under: uncultured bacterium
Lineage: Bacteria
Description: partial 16S ribosomal RNA
Rfam family: Bacterial small subunit ribosomal RNA
Source: RNAcentral